CCUGUCCCUAGAAAUGUUGCUGGUGUGGCUGCUGUGACAUAUAUGUAUUAGUAGAUGGCAGAGAGGAGAAAGGCAAUAUCUAUGCUCAGUGUUCUGACUUAUGAACAUCUGAAUUAUGAGUACCUUAAAAU
Molecule: small nucleolar RNA, 131 nt
Organism: Mastomys coucha (southern multimammate mouse)
Lineage: Eukaryota; Metazoa; Chordata; Mammalia; Rodentia; Muridae
Product: small nucleolar RNA SNORA17
Exons: 1
Source: RefSeq, a predicted model, not a curated record